This 406-nucleotide ribosomal RNA is filed under the name uncultured bacterium. RNAcentral describes it as "partial 16S ribosomal RNA". It matches the Rfam family "Bacterial small subunit ribosomal RNA", at positions 30 to 526 of the family's 1533-position model. The record is from RNAcentral.
AUUGAACGCUGGCGGCAGGCCUAACACAUGCAAGUCGAACGAGUGGCGGACGGGUGAGUAAUUUCUGGGAAACUGCCUGAUGGAGGGGGAUAACUACUGGAAACGGUAGCUAAUACCGCAUACCAUUGGAGGGGCCCAGAUGGGAUUAACUAGGAGGUGGGGUAAAGGCUCACCUAGGCGACGAUCCCUAGCUGGUCUGAGAGGCUGACCAGCCUCCCUGGAACUGAGACCCGGUCCAAACUCCUACGGGAGGCAGCAGUGGGGAAUAUUGCACAAUGGGCGCAAGCCUGAUGCAGCCAUGCCGCGUGUAUGAAGAAGGCCUUCGGGUUUUAAAGUACUUUCAGCGGGGAAGCGUUACCCGCAGAAGAAGCACCGGCUAACUCCGUGCCAGCAGCCGCGGUAAUAC